Molecule: transfer RNA, 66 nt
Filed under: Lype phaeopa
Lineage: Eukaryota; Metazoa; Arthropoda; Insecta; Trichoptera; Psychomyiidae
Description: tRNA-Phe
Source: RNAcentral
AUUUAAAUAGCUUAUAUUUAGAGUUUAAUAUUGAAGAUAUUAAGGAAAUUGAUUAAUUUUUAAAUA